This is a non-coding RNA of Paramuricea clavata, 495 nucleotides long. Lineage: Eukaryota; Metazoa; Cnidaria; Anthozoa; Malacalcyonacea; Plexauridae. The record is from the annotation of a GenBank genome assembly.
CCGAGAAAUGAGUGAUUUUGAGCACAGUCCUUCCGUCAAGUUGGUAAUCUGGAGUUUGUAUUGGACGAAAAUGCAAUACUUAUAACACCUACUAACUUGGAUCGAGGGAAACAGUAAGUGUUUUAUUAUAUACCAUGUGUCAAAGAAAACAAAAAGAGACGGAAAAGAAACGAGACAGCUCCAUUUGCUUAACUGAAUGAUUUUUGGUUUUUUAGGUUCUUGCAGGAGUUCAAAUUAUUCCUUUGCGUCAUAUACUUGAACUUGCCUUCAAGAUCGCGUCGUACAUCCGAUUUCCUCAUUCCUCUUUUAACUGUGAGGUAAAUAUGUGGACGAGCGUUUUUUUUUGGUUGAAGCGUUCAACCCAUACGCUCCACACAAGCAAGGAAUUCUAUAUAGAAUGCCAUGUUGGUAAUGCGAAAACAGCUAUCGAAUUUACUUUAAUAUCAUGAACAUUAUGUCUUCGAAAAUAAAGAGUCGGUAUUUUUUGGAAGCGCU